GCAAGUAGAACGCUGAAGAGAGGAGCUGCUCUUCUUGGAUGAGUUGCGAACGGGUGAGUAACGCGUAGGUAACCUGCCUGGUAGCGGGGGAUAACUAUUGGAAACGAUAGCUAAUACCGCAUAAAAUGGAUUAUCGCAUGAUAAUGCAUUGAAAGGUGCAAAUGCAUCACUACCAGAUGGACCUGCGUUGUAUUAGCUAGUUGGUGGGGUAACGGCUCACCAAGGCGACGAUACAUAGCCGACCUGAGAGGGUGAUCGGCCACACUGGGACUGAGACACGGCCCAGACUCCUACGGGAGGCAGCAGUAGGGAAUCUUCGGCAAUGGACGGAAGUCUGACCGAGCAACGCCGCGUGAGUGAAGAAGGUUUUCGGAUCGUAAAGCUCUGUUGUAAGAGAAGAACGAGUGUGAGAGUGGAAAGUUCACACUGUGACGGUAUCUUACCAGAAAGGGACGGCUAACUACGUGCCAGCAGCCGCGGUAAUACGUAGGUCCCGAGCGUUGUCCGGAUUUAUUGGGCGUAAAGCGAGCGCAGGCGGUUAGAUAAGUCUGAAGUUAAAGGCUGUGGCUUAACCAUAGUACGCUUUGGAAACUGUUUAACUUGAGUGCAAGAGGGGAGAGUGGAAUUCCAUGUGUAGCGGUGAAAUGCGUAGAUAUAUGGAGGACACCGGUGGCGAAACGGCUCUCUGGCUU
Molecule: ribosomal RNA, 692 nt
Filed under: uncultured Bacilli bacterium
Lineage: Bacteria; Bacillati; Bacillota; Bacilli
Description: bacterial SSU rRNA
Rfam family: Bacterial small subunit ribosomal RNA
Source: RNAcentral